AAGUCGUAACAAGGUAACCGUAGGUGAACCUGCGGUUGGAUCAUUAACAAAUUCAAGAUGAGCGCACUGUGACUUUACGGUCCAGUGUUGUUUAUUUUACCCCAAACUGUUGAACUGUACUGUAUCUGGCGGGUUAAAACAAGUCGAGUAACAUUGGCUUGGUUCUCUUCAGAGAUCACCCGCCGUUAUUUUAAACUAUAUUAUUUUCUACUGGUCAUCUUGUAUUGUUUUUUAAAAACAUUUAAACAAAACAACUUUUGGCAACGGAUCUCUAGGCUCUU
RNAcentral lists this unclassified non-coding RNA (281 nucleotides) under fungal sp. RNAcentral describes it as "partial internal transcribed spacer region". The stretch from base 1 to 46 matches the Rfam family "Eukaryotic small subunit ribosomal RNA", at positions 1786 to 1831 of the family's 1831-position model. The record is from RNAcentral. Lineage: Eukaryota; Fungi.